CCGCGGACGGCCGUUCGCGGGGAACUGACACCGGUACCUGAUACGGCCGGUGCAG
Molecule: non-coding RNA, 55 nt
Filed under: Streptomyces niveus NCIMB 11891
Lineage: Bacteria; Bacillati; Actinomycetota; Actinomycetes; Kitasatosporales; Streptomycetaceae
Description: L17-Actino-Proteobacteria ribosomal protein leader
Rfam family: L17-Actino-Proteobacteria ribosomal protein leader
Source: RNAcentral